GAAGGAUUAGCGGCGAACGGGUGAGGAACACGUGAGGAAUCUGCCUUCAACACUGGGAUAACUCCGGGAAACCGGGGCUAAUACCGGAUACGAGGCCUGCAGGCAUCUGCGGGUCUGGAAAGUUUUUCGGUUGAAGAUGACCUCGCGGCCUAUCAGCUUGUUGGUGAGGUAAUGGCUCACCAAGGCGACGACGGGUAGCCGGCCUGAGAGGGCGACCGGCCACACUGGGACUGAGACACGGCCCAGACUCC
This 251-nucleotide ribosomal RNA is filed under the name uncultured bacterium. Its description in RNAcentral is "partial 16S ribosomal RNA". It matches the Rfam family "Bacterial small subunit ribosomal RNA", at positions 86 to 339 of the family's 1533-position model. The record is from RNAcentral.